UACGUAGGGUGCAAGCGUUGUCCGGAAUUAUUGGGCGUAAAGCGCACGUAGGCGGCUUUUCAAGUCCCAUGUGAAAUCCCACGGCUUAACCGUGGAAGUGCAUGGGAAACUGGAAAGCUUGAGUACUUAAGAGGAUCGCGGAAUUCCCGGUGUAGAGGUGAAAUUCGUAGAUAUCGGGAGGAACACCAGUGGCGAAGGCGGCGAUCUGGGAAGAUACUGACGCUGAGGUGCGAAAGCGUGGGGAGCAAACAGG
RNAcentral lists this ribosomal RNA (253 nucleotides) under uncultured bacterium. RNAcentral's name for it is "partial 16S ribosomal RNA". It matches the Rfam family "Bacterial small subunit ribosomal RNA", at positions 524 to 776 of the family's 1533-position model. The record is from RNAcentral.